GACGAACGCUGGCGGCGUGCUUAACACAUGCAAGUCGAACGGAAAGGCCCUGCUUGCAGGGUACUCGAGUGGCGAACGGGUGAGUAACACGUGGGUGAUCUGCCCUGCACUUCGGGAUAAGCCUGGGAAACUGGGUCUAAUACCGGAUAGGAGCCAUUUUUAGUGUGAUGGUUGGAAAGUUUUUUCGGUGUAGGAUGAGCUCGCGGCCUAUCAGCUUGUUGGUGGGGUAAUGGCCUACCAAGGCGGCGACGGGUAGCCGGCCUGAGAGGGUGGACGGCCACAUCGGGACUGAGAUACGGCCCAGACUCCUACGGGAGGCAUCAGUGGGGAAUAUUGCACAAUGGGCGCAAGCCUGAUGCAGCGACGCCGCGUGGGGGAUGACGGCCUUCGGGUUGUAAACUCCUUUCGCUAGGGACGAAGCUUUUUGUGACGGUACCUAGAUAAGAAGCACCGGCUAACUACGUG
Molecule: ribosomal RNA, 465 nt
Filed under: uncultured bacterium
Lineage: Bacteria
Description: partial 16S ribosomal RNA
Rfam family: Bacterial small subunit ribosomal RNA
Source: RNAcentral